GGAACCUGGAGAACCAGGGAGUAGAAUCAGUAGCUCUCUGAGGGACUUUACAUAAAGCUUACAUAUGAUUUUGUCGAAUUGUCACUACUUAGCGAUGCCUGAGAAGUGCCUGAUUAGACCUGUUGAAUGUGGAGCAUACAGAUGGAGUCACUGGUUAAAGCUGGAGAGUGGAUGCAGAGAGAACGGACAUCUAUUUCAGAUGUGGCCACCGAAGAGCCAACCUCUGCCAGGCAGCUGCGUCUUGUGAAACGGCAAAAGAAAAGGCUGAUUUAACUAAGCAGCAAGACGCCAACACCUUCCUCCUCAGUACGUCCAAGUUUCCUUCGCUCUGAGCCACAAACGCUCCGCUUCUCUCUUCAUUCCCGCCCACCCCACCCCCCACCCCCUCGGGUUUCCGAGUCAUCAGGGAACGCGAGUGGGUGAAAGGACUCGGUGCUGCUGCAUCCCGAGCCACCGCCUCCUCCUGCGCCUCCUCUGAGCCGCCUCGGGUUCAGCACUGGACAGCUCCCGCCCCAGCCCAACAAAUGGCAGUCGGCUGAUUGACACAGGAGUCGACCAAACAGAGAACAAGACGGCUUGAAGCCGCCCUUCAAGGGUUUGGUUGAGGCCAAGCUGCCUCUUUAAACCGGCUUUUCUCCAGAGCAGGGGAGACAGGAGUGUGGUUUGUGGCCAAACCUAAGGGCUCCAGUUAACCAGCUUCCUGGUCCUAUAAACUCCACAGAGACUAACGUCCUGAAAGAAAUCUUUGCUCUUCGGGACUCGGUCCUGCGCUGGCGGUGCGGGUCUGUGUGCGCGCACUCCGCGCCUCGCGGCGAAGCGAACGAGGAGGAGCCAGAGCCGGGAGGCGGGAACGACCUGCCACGGGUGAGAUGAUGGAGCAGCGUCUUUGGCGGCCGCGGCGCCAGCAGCAGCAGCAGCAGCAGCAGCAGCAGCAGCAGCAGCUCUUGAACACACCUCAAUGAGAGCGACAGUGGAAGCUGCUGAGCAGAAAGACGUAAGCAGGCUAACUAUAGCCGCCGGGAGAGAGAGGGGAUGUAACCUGUUCUGCUCAAGGCUGUGAGGUGCGUAAUCCCGAGCCGACCCAUUAUGGAGCGGGUGCAGCCAGCGUUGCCACAGGUGAUUUGAUUUCCUGUGACGGUAGCUUAGCCAGCCGGGACAAUUCCAAAACAUUCUUAUUUUAAAGUCCUUUUCGGCCACCUGGAGAAGGGGGACGACUCCUAGGAAAAGUCUUACUGUUGAUAAAUUGACGAC
RNAcentral lists this long non-coding RNA (1251 nucleotides) under Felis catus (domestic cat). RNAcentral's name for it is "lncRNA (ENSFCAG00000046922.1)". The record is from RNAcentral. Lineage: Eukaryota; Metazoa; Chordata; Mammalia; Carnivora; Felidae.